RNAcentral lists this ribosomal RNA (425 nucleotides) under uncultured bacterium. RNAcentral describes it as "partial 16S ribosomal RNA". It matches the Rfam family "Bacterial small subunit ribosomal RNA", at positions 354 to 796 of the family's 1533-position model. The record is from RNAcentral.
GUGGGGAAUCUUGCGCAAUGGGUGAAAGCCUGACGCAGCCAUGCCGCGUGAAUGAUGAAGGUCUUAGGAUUGUAAAAUUCUUUCACCGGGGACGAUAAUGACGGUACCCGGAGAAGAAGCUCCGGCUAACUUCGUGCCAGCAGCCGCGGUAAUACGAAUGGGGCUAGCGUUGCUCGGAAUUACUGGGCGUAAAGGGCGCGUAGGCGGACAGCUUAGUCAGAGGUGAAAGCCCAGGGCUCAACCUUGGAAUUGCCUUUGAUACUGGCUGUCUUGAGUUUGGGAGAGGUGAGUGGAACUCCGAGUGUAGAGGUGAAAUUCGUAGAUAUUCGGAAGAACACCAGUGGCGAAGGCGACUCACUGGCCCAAUACUGACGCUGAGGCGCGAAAGCGUGGGGAGCAAACAGGAUUAGAUACCCGAGUAGUCC